Long non-coding RNA from Pipistrellus kuhlii (Kuhl's pipistrelle), 1009 nucleotides. RefSeq lists it as uncharacterized. The transcript is spliced from 3 exons. The record is from RefSeq and is a predicted model, not a curated record. NCBI's taxonomy places the organism in Eukaryota, Metazoa, Chordata, Mammalia, Chiroptera, Vespertilionidae.
GCUGGGAGCUGCGGGGUCUGCCUGGCCUGAGGAGGGACUGGCUUCCACCACCGAGUCAGGCUUCAGGUCUGGGAGAGAACAAACUUGACACAAAGGAAGCCUUUGUAACUACUUAGUGGUGCCAAGACCUAAAGAUUUCAGGUUAAGUCUGUCUGAAGAAGAAGCAAGAGGUGGCUAGAGCUGCAUGACCUAUGCUGUCUGAGCCCCAGACUUCUCCAAGGCCCUGGCUACCUCCCCUCAGGGUGGCUGCUGGGUAUGCCGGUUGCGUGCUGCCCUCUGCUGGCCAGUCUGUGGUCUCGGGGGAGGCUGGGGAGCAAUGGGAGGGGCAGGGUAGGUUAAUGUCUGGUGGGAAGAGCUCUGGGGAAGGAAACAGGAGCCACAGGGUGUCCCAGGAACUGCAGGUGAGAAUGAGAGCCAAGGCCUAAAGUCCACGAGGAGGGGAAAUGGGAGCCCAUGAGCCUACAGGACAGCCCUGGCCAGUGGGGGAGCAAGGGAAGGUGGCCCAGGAGGUGCAGGAAGCUCACAGGAGAGGCACCACGGACUCCUCACAGCAACCAGGACCAGCUGACCCCUCAGGGACUCGCCACCCCUCCUGACUGCUCUGUCAGAGCUGGUCUGUACCAGGGACCCAGGAGGCCCAGGUGUAAGCCAGAGACACCACCUGAGGAGGCUGGAGGUUGGGGGGCCGGGUCAGGCCUGGUGCUCCCCUCUCCCGGGAGUAAGGGCAUAAAGAAGGGGCUACAAUUCCAGUCCCCGUGGCCCUGACACUUGAAAAUUCAGAGUCAGAGCAGGAACCCGGCCAUGUGGGGCCAGUGAAAGCAUCCAGGGAAAGGAAGGAGCGAGUCCCACAGCAAGAAUGGACAGGACAGCCCAGUACUCCUCACGUCACUCAGCGUUCCAGAGAAUGGGAGGACGGACGCGGAGGAAACAACAAACCCACACUCUUUUUAUAUAAGGUUUCAUAUUUAAUUUGGUCAUGGAUUCAUAAAUACAUGAAUAUUUUGUACUU